Molecule: ribosomal RNA, 771 nt
Filed under: uncultured Lactobacillus sp.
Lineage: Bacteria; Bacillati; Bacillota; Bacilli; Lactobacillales; Lactobacillaceae
Description: bacterial SSU rRNA
Rfam family: Bacterial small subunit ribosomal RNA
Source: RNAcentral
CUGUCUGGUCUGUAACUGACGCUGAGCUCGAAAGUAUGGGUAGCAAACAGGAUUAGAUACCUGGUAGUCCAUACCGUAAACGAUGAAUGCUAAGUGUUGGAGGGUUUCCCCUUUCAGUGCUGCAGCUAACGCAUUAAGCAUUCCGCUGGGGAGUACGGCCGCAAGGCUGAAACUCAAAGGAAUUGACGGGGGCCCGCACAAGCGGUGGAGCAUGCGUUAAUUCGAAGCUACGCGAAGAACCUUACCAGGUCUUGACAUACUAUGCAAAUCUAAGAGAUUAGACGUUCCCUUCGGGGACAUGGAUACAGGUGGUGCAUGGUUGUCGUCAGCUCGUGUCGUGAGAUGUUGGGUUAAGUCCCGCAACGAGCGCAACCCUUAUUAUCAGUUGCCAGCAUUAAGUUGGGCACUCUGGUGAGACUGCCGGUGACAAACCGGAGGAAGGUGGGGAUGACGUCAAAUCAUCAUGCCCCUUAUGACCUGGGCUACACACGUGCUACAAUGGAUGGUACAACGAGUUGCGAACUCGCGAGAGUAAGCUAAUCUCUUAAAGCCAUUCUCAGUUCGGAUUGUAGGCUGCAACUCGCCUACAUGAAGUCGGAAUCGCUAGUAAUCGCGGAUCAGCAUGCCGCGGUGAAUACGUUCCCGGGCCUUGUACACACCGCCCGUCACACCAUGAGGGUUUGUAACACCCAAAGUCGGUGGGGUAACCUUUAGGAACCAGCCGCCUAAGGUGGGACAGAUGAUUAGGGUGAAGUCGUAACAAGGUAACCA